GACGAACGCUGGCGGCAUGCCUAAUACAUGCAAGUCGAGCGAACAGAUGAAGUGCUUGCACUUCUGACGUUAGCGGCGAACGGGUGAGUAACACGUAAGGAAUCUACCUAUAAGCGGGGGAUAACAUUCGGAAACGGGUGCUAAUACCGCAUAAUAUCUUCUUCCGCAUGGAAGAAGAUUGAAAGACGGCUCUGCUGUCACUUAUAGAUGACCUUGCGGUGCAUUAGUUAGUUGGUGGGGUAACGGCCUACCAAGACGAUGAUGCAUAGCCGACCUGAGAGGGUGAUCGGCCACAUUGGGACUGAGACACGGCCCAAACGCCUACGGGAGGCAGCAGUAGGGAAUCUUCCGAAAUGGGCGAAAGCCUGACGGAGCAAUGCCGCGUGAGUGAAGAAGGCCUUCGGGUCGUAAAACUCUGUUAUAAGAGAAGAACAAAUUGUAGAGUAACUGCUACAGUCUUGACGGUAUCUUAUCAGAAAGCCACGGCUAACUACGUGCCAGCAGCCGCGGUAA
This 513-nucleotide ribosomal RNA is filed under the name uncultured bacterium. Its description in RNAcentral is "partial 16S ribosomal RNA". It matches the Rfam family "Bacterial small subunit ribosomal RNA", at positions 28 to 523 of the family's 1533-position model. The record is from RNAcentral.